RNAcentral lists this ribosomal RNA (429 nucleotides) under Chloroflexota bacterium. RNAcentral's name for it is "Chloroflexi bacterium partial 16S ribosomal RNA". It matches the Rfam family "Bacterial small subunit ribosomal RNA", at positions 355 to 776 of the family's 1533-position model. Lineage: Bacteria; Bacillati; Chloroflexota. The record is from RNAcentral.
UGGGGAAUAUUGCACAAUGGGCGCAAGCCUGAUGCAGCCAUGCCGCGUGUAUGAAGAAGGCCUUCGGGUUGUAAAGUACUUUCAGCGGGGAGGAAGGGAGUAAAGUUAAUACCUUUGCUCAUUGACGUUACCCGCAGAAGAAGCACCGGCUAACUCCGUGCCAGCAGCCGCGGUAAUACGGAGGGUGCAAGCGUUAAUCGGAAUUACUGGGCGUAAAGCGCACGCAGGCGGUUUGUUAAGUCAGAUGUGAAAUCCCCGGGGUCAACCUGGGAACUGCAUCUGAUACUGGCAAGCUUGAGUCUCGGAGAGGGGGGUAGGAUUCCAGGUGUAGCGGUGAAAUGCGUAGAGAUCUGGAGGAAUACCGGUGGCGAAGGCGACCCCCUGGACGAAGACUGACGCUCAGGUGCGAAAGCGUGGGGAGCAAAAAGG